RNAcentral lists this unclassified non-coding RNA (255 nucleotides) under uncultured fungus. RNAcentral's name for it is "sequence contains ITS1". The stretch from base 1 to 100 matches the Rfam family "5.8S ribosomal RNA", at positions 50 to 154 of the family's 154-position model. The record is from RNAcentral. Lineage: Eukaryota; Fungi.
AAACUGCGAUACGUAGUGUGAAUUGCAGAAUUUGUGAAUCAUCGAAUCUUUGAACGCACCUUGCACUCUCUCUCGGGAGAGUAUGCCUGUUUGAGUACCACAUCCUUCUCUUGACAGUCGUCAAGGUCUUGAGCGCUCGUGUCUGCGUCGCUUUAAAUGAAUUCAGGGAACAGUGUUGGAAUGGAUUUAUCCUUCUCAUCAAGUACCAAAUGAACAAAUGGUCUCAAAUCAGGUAGGAAGACCCGCUGAACUUAA